CAAUAGCGUAUAUUAAAGUUGUUGCAGUUAAAAAGCUCGUAGUUGGAUUUGUGGCGUACAGUGUGUUCCGGGCACUUGUUGUCUGAGUAACCUGCUGUUGCCAUCCUUGGGUGGAACCUGUGUGGCAUUAGGUUGUCGUGCAGGGGAUGCCCAUCAUUUACUGUGAAAAAAUUAGAGUGUUCAAAGCAGGCUUAUGCCGUUGAAUAUAUUAGCAUGGAAUAAUGAGAUAGGACUUUUUUGCUAUUUUGUUGGUUUGCGCAAGAAGGUAAUGAUUAAUAGGGACAGUUGGGGGUAUUCGUAUUCCAUUGUCAGAGGUGAAAUUCUUGGAUUUUUGGAAGACGAACUACUGCGAAAGCAUUUACCAAGGAUGUUUUCAUUAA
Molecule: ribosomal RNA, 380 nt
Filed under: uncultured eukaryote
Lineage: Eukaryota
Description: partial 18S ribosomal RNA
Rfam family: Eukaryotic small subunit ribosomal RNA
Source: RNAcentral